Molecule: long non-coding RNA, 589 nt
Filed under: Pan troglodytes (chimpanzee)
Lineage: Eukaryota; Metazoa; Chordata; Mammalia; Primates; Hominidae
Description: long non-coding RNA NONPTRT017953
Source: RNAcentral
ACCCAGAGGGCUUCCUUCAAGUCCUCUCGCCGAGUCUGUGUAGAGGCAACCAGUCAUCAGGGGAAGGAGUGAGCUCACCAGGCUGCUAGGGAGGACCGGAGCUGGAGAACCAGAGGUGGUCAGGUGAGCUGGGGGGGUUCAGGGCAGGAGAAGGGUUGCUCUGUCAUCCUCAUCCCAGGAGGACACCCAGACUGUCCUUCCCAUCAGACGGCAGUUGAAGACUUCCAGAUUCUUUCCCCACUGUCGUCCUCUCUGAUCCUCACAACAGCCCUGUGAGGGUGACGGGAGCCUGUGUGAAGGCAGGUGCCCCAGACGCUGACGCCACUGUCUGCAGGGCCCAGAAUCUGCACUUUUAUGGUCUCCCACAGGCGGGCUGAGGCUGGGUUUCCAGAACUGCCACCAGGCAACCACUGCCCAGCAGCAGUCUGUAUCACAGAGGAUGGUCUUGCGAGUCAUGGAAGGAAACUCAAGUGACAAUGUUCCCAGGCCCCCAGACCCACCUCUGGCCAGCAAGACCCUCCAGGCAGCUGCAGUUGGCAGCGGGAGAGCCACCCUCACAUAGGCUGCCAUCGAGGCAGGUGACAUUCAG